RNAcentral lists this ribosomal RNA (972 nucleotides) under Pseudomusonia sp. MN720. RNAcentral's name for it is "SSU rRNA". It matches the Rfam family "Eukaryotic small subunit ribosomal RNA", at positions 683 to 1800 of the family's 1831-position model. The record is from RNAcentral. Lineage: Eukaryota; Metazoa; Arthropoda; Insecta; Mantodea; Thespidae.
CUGCCGGUUCACCGCCCGUCGGUGUCUAACUGGCAUGCACGUGUGGACGUCCUGCCGGUGGCCCGAUCCGGCGCGGGUCUCGUACCUGUCGUCCGAGGAGGGCCUAUCAUACCCGUCGCGGUGCUCUUAACCGAGUGUCUCGAUGGGCCGGCACGUUUACUUUGAACAAAUUAGAGUGCUUAAAGCAGGCAGCAUCCGCCUGAAUACCGAGUGCAUGGAAUAAUGGAAUAGGACCUCGGUUCUAUUUUGUUGGUUUUCGGAAUCCCCGAGGUAAUGAUCAAUAGGGACAGACGGGGGCAUUCGUAUUGCGACGUUAGAGGUGAAAAACUUAAAGGAAUUGACGGAAGGGCACCACCAGGAGUGGAGCCUGCGGCUUAAUUUGACUCAACACGGGAAACCUCACCAGGCCCGGACACCGGGAGGAUUGACAGAUUGAGAGCUCUUUCUUGAUUCGGUGGGUGGUGGUGCAUGGCCGUUCUUAGUUGGUGGAGCGAUUUGUCUGGUUAAUUCCGAUAACGAACGAGACUCUAGCCUGCUAACUAGUCGCUUCCGGUAUCCUUGUGCUACCGGCGACUCCUGAUCUUCUUAGAGGGACAGGCGGCUCCUAGCCGCACGAGAUUGAGCAAUAACAGGUCUGUGAUGCCCUUAGAUGUUCUGGGCCGCACGCGCGCUACACUGAAGGAAUCAGCGUGUCCUCCCUGGCCGAAAGGCCCGGGUAACCCGCUGAACCUCCUUCGUGCUAGGGAUUGGGGCUUGCAAUUGUUCCCCAUGAACGAGGAAUUCCCAGUAAGCGCGAGUCAUAAGCUCGCGUUGAUUACGUCCCUGCCCUUUGUACACACCGCCCGUCGCUACUACCGAUUGAAUGAUUUAGUGAGGUCUUCGGACCGGUGGGCGAGGGGGUUCUCCUCCUCGAUUCCACCGGGAAGAUGCCCAAACUUGAUCAUUUAGAGGAAGUAAAAGUCGUAACAAGGU